RNAcentral lists this unclassified non-coding RNA (983 nucleotides) under Hevea brasiliensis (rubber tree). The record is from RNAcentral. Lineage: Eukaryota; Viridiplantae; Streptophyta; Magnoliopsida; Malpighiales; Euphorbiaceae.
GGAUGCGCUUGUCAAGGCUGGUAUAAAUUUCACUGCUUUAUUAUUUUUAACUUCGAAAUAUUUUCUUAUAGUUAUAGGGACUGCGUUGAUCAAUCACAUUCACAGUGAAAUUAUGCUGUUAAUUUGUGUAGUGCUUGAUUAUAUAAUGAUUAAUAAGAGGAUAUGAUGAUUCUUUUGAUAUUUCUGAUAGAAAACAAGUAGUUAUUCGGUGGGUACCAGUUGCUUGCAUGCUUAGUUAGAUUGGAAAACUUUAUUUCCGAUAGUUGCGGUUAACUAUAUAUUUGCUAAAUCAGACGUUCAACGUAGAAUUAUAAUUUUUAUAAACAAAGGAUGAAGCUUUAAUUCUCUUAAUAGAUUUGUUUUAGACGGUCUCUUGAAUUCUUCUAUUUAUUUGGAUCCUAUGCUUACAUUCAUGCUUUAAGGUUGGUUGAUAGUAUGCCACAAAAUAGCAGUUUGGACAUUCUUGCUAGCAAUCUGGUUGGCAUGAUCUGAACUGAAUUUUUAGUGCCUGAGCUUUUUUCUUUUGUGUUAGUUUUGGAUUGCAAGGUGGGCAAUGUUCUUUCUGUAUAAGUGAGAAAUUCCAUCUUGUGUCCUGGUUGGGUUUUGGGAGCUGCUUGCGGCUGCCGUUUUUGUAGCAUUGUUCCAUGUGAUGAAAAAUUUUCACUUGCCAUCCCCCAUUAUUAUAGGCCAGAGGUUGAUCGUUGAUCUGUAUUGCUUUCUUAAUGUUUUGUAUCCUGUAGAAGUGUUAUCAUUGGCUUAACGUUUAAAUUACCUUUGCCUAAGUGUAAUUGAUGUGAAAGUCACUCUACUGACAAUUUCCAAAAUUCUUCUCAAAUUGAGUGAAUUUUUUAUUUUCUCUAUCUCAAAUUUCUUCCCUACUUCUUUAUUUGCUUUCUCUCCAUUUCCUAUUUCAUCCCGCUUCUUUGUCUUCAACGCUUAUGUUUUCUUCUUCUAUUUUCUCUUGCAUUCCUCUCCUUUUCCUC